Molecule: ribosomal RNA, 253 nt
Filed under: uncultured archaeon
Lineage: Archaea
Description: partial 16S ribosomal RNA
Rfam family: Archaeal small subunit ribosomal RNA
Source: RNAcentral
UACUAGCGGUCCAAGUCGCAAUCGCGUUUAUUGGGUCUAAAACAUCCGUAGCUCGUUAUGCAAGUCUCUUGUGAAAUCCCACGUCUCAAGCGUGGACGUGCGAGAGAUACUACAUAACUUGAGACCGGGAGAGGCAAGAAGUACGGUUAGGGUACCGGUAAAAUGGGUUGAUCCUAUCUGGACUAACAAUAGCGAAGGCAUCUUGCUAGAACGGAUCUGACAGUAAGGGAUGAAGGCUAGGGGCGCAAAACGG